Molecule: ribosomal RNA, 803 nt
Filed under: uncultured bacterium
Lineage: Bacteria
Description: bacterial SSU rRNA
Rfam family: Bacterial small subunit ribosomal RNA
Source: RNAcentral
AGAGUUUGCUCUCUGGCUCAGGAUGAACGCUGGCGGCGUGCCUAACACAUGCAAGUCGAGCGAAGCACUUUACUUGAUUUCUUCGGAUUGAAGGUAUAGUGACUGAGCGGCGGACGGGUGAGUAACGCGUGGGUAACCUGCCUCAUACAGGGGGAUAACAGUUAGAAAUGACUGCUAAUACCGCAUAAGACCACAGCACCGCAUGGUGCGGGGGUAAAAACUCCGGUGGUAUGAGAUGGACCCGCGUCUGAUUAGCUAGUUGGUAAGGUAAGGGCUUACCAAGGCGACGAUCAGUAGCCGACCUGAGAGGGUGACCGGCCACAUUGGGACUGAGACACGGCCCAAACUCCUACGGGAGGCAGCAGUGGGGAAUAUUGCACAAUGGGGGAAACCCUGAUGCGGCGACGCCGCGUGAGUGAUGAAGUAUUUCGGUAUGUAAAGCUCUAUCAGCAGGGAAGAAAAUGACGGUACCUGACUAAGAAGCACCGGCUAAAUACGUGCCAGCAGCCGCGGUAAUACGUAUGGUGCAAGCGUUAUCCGGAUUUACUGGGUGUAAAGGGAGCGUAGACGGAGAGGCAAGUCUGAUGUGAAAACCCGGGGCUCAACCCCGGGACUGCAUUGGAAACUGUUUUUCUAGAGUGUCGGAGAGGCAAGUGGAAUUCCUAGUGUAGCGGUGAAAUGCGUAGAUAUUAGGAGGAACACCAGUGGCGAAGGCGGCUUGCUGGACGAUGACUGACGUUGAGGCUCGAAAGCGUGGGGAGCAAACAGGAUUAGAUACCCUGGUAGUCCACGCCGUAAACGAU